GACGAACGCUGGCGGCGUGCUUAACACAUGCAAGUCGAACGGAAAGGCCCUGCUUGCAGGGUGCUCGAGUGGCGAACGGGUGAGUAACACGUGGGUGAUCUGCCCUGCACUUCGGGAUAAGCCUGGGAAACUGGGUCUAAUACCGGAUAGGAGCCAUUUUUAGUGUGAUGGUUGGAAAGUUUUUUCGGUGUAGGAUGAGCUCGCGGCCUAUCAGCUUGUUGGUGGGGUAAUGGCCUACCAAGGCGGCGACGGGUAGCCGGCCUGAGAGGGUGGACGGCCACAUUGGGACUGAGAGACGGCCCAGACUCCUACGGGAGGCAGCAGUGGGGAAUAUUGCACAAUGGGCGCAAGCCUGAUGCAGCGACGCCGCGUGGGGGAGGACGGCCUUCGGGUUGUAAACUCCUUUCGCGAGGGACGAAGCUUUUUGUGACGGUACCUAGAUAAGAAGCACCGGCUAACUACGUG
RNAcentral lists this ribosomal RNA (465 nucleotides) under uncultured bacterium. RNAcentral describes it as "partial 16S ribosomal RNA". It matches the Rfam family "Bacterial small subunit ribosomal RNA", at positions 28 to 507 of the family's 1533-position model. The record is from RNAcentral.